GCGCCGUGGGCCGAGCUCCGGGUGGAGGGCAGGCUCCGGGUGGAGGGCAGGCCGGCGCCUGGGGCGAGGGAGAGGACGCCCAGGGCCCCGAGGACUUGCGACAGCAGCCUCUAGCCCGGCCCGCUGCCCGGAGGCUAGAACUCACCUGCAGAGCCAAACCUGGCCCGGGGCCACUGACUGGCUGCCAGACUGGGGGACGUCACCCCCCAACCCCCGCAUUCGGACCUUAAUUUCUGUUUUCACUGUGUAAUACUGACCUGCCAAAAACCUGAUGUGUGGACUAGGAUGGCCUUCAACUCACAGAAUUCCGUCUGCCUGCUUCUCCCUCCGGACUGCCGAGAUUAAAAGUGUGCACCACCAUGUAGUGCAGGGCCCAACAUUAAUAUUCUUUUCACCACUAAGAAUAUCAAACACUAAAGAGAUAAACCUUUGUUCAGCUGCCAGAAUAUCUAGGCUGGAAACUGGGCUCCACAAUCUACUAACUAUAGUUGCCCAGGUAAGACAGAACCUCUCCAGGGCCAUGGGUCCUCAUUCCCUUCUUCUCUGUGAGAGUUAACUAAAUGAAUAUUCGCUUGGUACAGGGUCUCUUUCCAUCCUAGGAGAAGCCAUGCAGUGCUUCUGGGCCUUCUUGUCCUCUUCAGGAAAACAAAGCUAACAAUUACUGCCUGAGUUCAGAAGACAUCUAAAGAUCUACAAAGGAAAGCUGAUAAUGCGCCUUCUCCUAGGGAUUCUUAAGUAAGGAUGGUCAAAACAAGAAGUCAACUAUGUUUACUUAGGACUACAAUGUAUGUAAUCUUGGGUUUAGCCAAAGUAGCAGUCCUCUCUCUCCUCUCUCAACUCUAAGCCCAAAUAAUGCGCGUGCGUGCACACACACACACACACAGUUUACAAUUUUAUUUACAAAAGGAAAUUCUUUAAAACAAAUUUUUUAAAAUGUGGGGUGUGGUGGUGCGCACCAUAAAUCCUAGCCCUCAGGAGGCACAGGAAGAAGUGAGUUCAAGAACAGCCUCACAGGAGGCAUGGAGGUUUGUAUGCUCACAGAUGAGCACUAGGGGAACCUGGAAUGUUAAACAUCAGGAUUGUUCCUUCAAGAGAAAGGAUGCAAUCAAUACCUUUUACCUGGUCAGAAGGCUGAAGCAACAUGCUUCCCAGCCUGGUGACCUCUUCGCUAUAUGUGUGGCCAGAGACUUUUCCCAGCGCUGGACCCCUCCCCUAGCCAAUCUAUAGAAUCUAUCUUUAUGAACUUUACGAAGAGUUUCAAUGUAGUCAUGUCUGAUCUGUAUUUAGCUUUGUUUGUUCCUCAAGGAGAUCUAAGUAUGCUUUGUUGUGUACACAGGAUUGAGUUCAUUAUCACCGAAAGGUUUCCCUACCCUGAUACUGGUUUCUCCGCUGAUGCAAUAAAUCAGAUCAGGCUGAAUUAGUCCAGGUUUUAAUCCGAGCAAAGCAUUCCCUGGUGGUCUCAGGGGAGGAGAGGAAAUCAUGAGGCUGCUCCCAAGGGAGGGGGCCUUAAGUGCCCUCGGGAGGAGUCGCUGCUUGGUAGGCUUUCUUUUUUUUUUUUCUUUUUUUUUGACUUUUUAAAAAAAAUCUUAAUUUUUAUUUUGUUUUAGGAGUAGAGUGUUUUCAUCUCAGGCCUCUGGAGCUGGAGUUACACACAGCUACGUGAGCAGUCAUGUGAAUUCCAUGAAUCGAAUGAGAAUCCUUUGGAAGAGUAAUCAGUGUUCACAACCACUGAAAACUCUGUAGCCCUCAAUAAUGAUUUAGCUUUUGUUUUCUUUUGUCUUUUUAGAUGUGGUCAAGAGAAUUUCCACUUCCUCAGAGAGCUGGGAGGCUUUCUUGGGCAGGGUCUAGAGAGAAAGAGAUGGGGCCAAGGUAGAGCUUCCACUUAAUCAAUCACCAGGAUAGUUUUCACCAAAUUGUGCUGUGCUUAUAUAUACCUGAAAUGAACCACUUGAAGUCAGACCCUAGAAGUUUGAACCGACACAGGCCUACUGAGUCAUGCUGAACAGAACUACCUUCUUGACUCCCUCAACUUGUCACUGCUGGCCAUGAAGGUCGCACAGACCCCCACACAGUCUGAUCUACAUAGUGAGCUCUAGACUAGGCAGGGCUAUACAGUGAGACCCUUGUCUCAAAAACUAAAACAAAAUAACAGAAAUAAGUAAACACCUCAUAUUUUCAACUUAAUUUUUAAACUUUGUUUAAACUGCCUGGUUUUACCUUCUUUAGUGCUAGGAUUGAAGGAAUGCACCUCCACUCCCAGUUUUUGUUUUAAGAUUUUCCUUCAGGAUUUUAAAAUUAUUUUGAAUUAAGUGUACAUGUAUCUGUGUUUGGGCAUGUACACAUGAUUGCAGGUGGCUGUGGAAGCCAGAGGUACUGUGGCCCCUUUACCUGGAGUCACAGGCAAUUGGUUGAGAGCUGUGGACAUGGAAACACAACUUGGGUGCUCUGUGAGGAGAGUAUGUGUUCUCAACUGCUGAGGCAUCUUGUCUUUCAAGCUCUUUGGUUGCAUUUUUUCUAGAUUUUUUUAUGCAGAUGAGUGUUUUGUCUGCAUGUAUGUCUGUGUUACCAUAUGUAUGCCGUGUCCACAAAGGUCAAAAGAGAGCAUUAGAUCCCCUGGAACUAGAGUUACAAAUAUGAGAAAUCAUAUGGGUGCUGGGAACCCACCCAAGUCCUCUGGAAAAGCAGCCAGUGCUCUAAACUGCUGAGCUAGCUCUCCAGCCCCGUGUUGCAUUCUUAGUGGUGACAGAGCUACUUCUAUUGCCCAGACAACAGAGACAUAUAUGCUAUUCACUGAGGAGAAAAAAGUAUCCCAUUUCAUACACUUCAUGUAGAGUAAAUGAAAAAAUAUCUUGGUAUUUGGUAAAGUGUAGUAUUCAUUUUAAUUGACAAAUGCUAUUAUUUACAAAUAUAUUAGCUAUCCAUUCCCAGUCUCAUAUUUCUAUGGUUUCUUUUUGACAUUUCAGUUCACUUGAAGUCUUUAUAUGUGAAUUGUGUCAGUUUACAAUAAGUAAUUUCUGAGUAAGUAUAACAUCUUAAAUAUGGAUACACAUAAUCUGUAAUGAAAGGAAAUCAAUGAAAAAAAGACUUUUACCCAUUCCUUACCAUGCUAACUCAAGUGUGCUAUGAAGUAAAUUGACAACAUUAAGUAACGAUCACCAUUUUCAUUUUUAGAACUUUGUCAUCAUCUGGAACAGAAACUUAUCCUUUAGACAGUAACUCUCCAUUCCCACUUUCCCUACCUUAUAAGCUUUAUUCUGUUGUGGCUAUUUGAAUGUUCUUUUUCUAUGGAUCUAUUUAAUGGGAUCAUACCUGCACUUCAUGACCAGCUAGUUUCACUUAGCACAAUGUAUUCAAGGUUCAUUUUUUUGUGUUUAUCUGCUCAGACUACCAAAACUAUCAGCAGACUGGGUGCCAGAAACAACAGGAAUUUAUUUUCUUGAUGUUGGACAGCUAGAGGUCCAAGAUCUGUUUACUGUGGUUGUUUUCUGAUUGGAUAGUUGAUUCUUGUACCCUGUAGAGCCUCUUCUGCAUAUGCAUGGAAGGAUGAGAGCAGGCAUUCUCUAAGAUGUCUUCCUGCCUUUGUGUUUUGUUUUUUAGCUUCUCACAUCAUUUGAUUUUUAUAGAUACGGUGUUUGCCUAUAUAUAUGGAAUUGUAUCACAUGUGUGAAGUACCUGUGGAAGCCAGAAGGCAUCAGAUUCCCUGGAACUGGAGUCAUACAGUUGUAAGGUGCCAUAGGAGUGCUGGGAAAUAAACCCUCGUCCUCUACAAGAGCGGUGUCAAGCUCCAAUUUGUUGUUGCUUUUUAGGAGUGAAAAUUCCUUUCUUUUUCACAAGUUAGAAACUUAGUUGGGUAAAGUCUGCCCUAAGGGCGCGACUCCCUUUAUCAUUAAAUUUCCAAGUGUUCUUUUUAACUUAUACUGUACAUUUUGUAUGUCCUUUUCAUUGUAUACCUGCAUAAGAAUGAUUACAAAUAACCACAUGACAAUGGCAAUAUUAGGCUAAUAUGAGUUCAUUACAUUUCAAUUUAGUCUAAGACAGAUUCUUAGGACAUAGGCAAAAAGCAUAUUCUUUGCUGAAAUAUCACAAGAAUGAUCUCUAGCAGUUGCUAAUACCGUUCCCCUCUGAAAUGUUGUAAGUGGGCCUCCACAGUUCAUGUGGCUCUCAAAAUUGUCAUCUUCUAAGCUCCUACUAGGCCUGUUAAGCCCCAUUACAGCUCCAAUCACUCUCCCUGUCCAAAGUCUCACAUUUGGAGGAAUGUCCACAUUCCUCCGAAAAUAGCAUAGUUGGGCCUGUCCAUUAAUAUCCCACCCCUGGUACCAGCUUCUGUCUUAAUUUUCUAUUGUUGUGAUAAAACACCAUGACCAAUGCAACUUAUAGGAGAGAGUUUAUUUGAGGCUAAUAUUGUCCAUGAUCAUCAUAGCAGAGGACAUGGCCCUAAAGCAGUAGCCGAGAGCUCACAUCUUGAGGUACAAUCAUGAGGUACAAUCAUGAGGCAGAGAGAGACUGGGAAUGGUCUGCUGAAUCCUCCAAGCCCACCCCUAGUGACACACUUCCUCCAACAAGGCCACACCUCCUAAUCCUUCCUAACCAGUUCUACCAACUGGAGACCAAGCAUUAAAACAUGUGAGCCAGGGAGGGAGAGGGAACAGGGGUUGGUUUGUAAAAUGAAAAAAAUAAAUAAAAUAAAAAAAAAAAAACGUAUGAGCCUAUGGGGGCCACUCUCAUUCAAACCACAAGCAGCAAGAGCUUCUAACGACCAACCCAUCUUUCCAGUGCAUCUUCUUUUCUUAUAAGGACACCUACCCUAUAAGAUCAGAAUCUUUCUCUUAUGAUUUUAUUUAAUACAAGUUACCUCUUUAAAGGGAAGUCAUAGAGUCCUGUUUAAAGUUAGGAAUCUAGUCUAGAACAUUCUAGUGUUUCCUCUCUGCCUCUGCCUCCCAGAGUGCUGGGAUUAAAGGUAUGUGCCACCACUUUAAAAGCCCUUCUUUUUUUUUUUUU
Peromyscus californicus insignis is the source of this 4998-nucleotide long non-coding RNA. RefSeq lists it as uncharacterized. The transcript has 2 exons. The record is from RefSeq and is a predicted model, not a curated record. NCBI's taxonomy places the organism in Eukaryota, Metazoa, Chordata, Mammalia, Rodentia, Cricetidae.